GCCUUCGUAGCUCAGGGGAUAGAGCACCGCUCUCCUAAAGCGGGUGUCGCAGGUUCGAAUCCUGCCGGGGGCACCG
This 76-nucleotide transfer RNA is filed under the name Streptomyces hoynatensis. Its description in RNAcentral is "tRNA-Arg". It matches the Rfam family "tRNA". From Rfam's summary of the family: Transfer RNA (tRNA) molecules are approximately 80 nucleotides in length. Their secondary structure includes four short double-helical elements and three loops (D, anti-codon, and T loops). Further hydrogen bonds mediate the characteristic L-shaped molecular structure. tRNAs have two regions of fundamental functional importance: the anti-codon, which is responsible for specific mRNA codon recognition, and the 3' end, to which the tRNAs corresponding amino acid is attached (by aminoacyl-tRNA synthetases). tRNAs cope with the degeneracy of the genetic code in two manners: having more than one tRNA (with a specific anti-codon) for a particular amino acid; and 'wobble' base-pairing, i.e. permitting non-standard base-pairing at the 3rd anti-codon position. Lineage: Bacteria; Bacillati; Actinomycetota; Actinomycetes; Kitasatosporales; Streptomycetaceae. The record is from RNAcentral. RNAcentral also lists the same sequence under 8 other names.